CUGGCGAUGACGAUGAGGAACCGCCAAAUAUUGGCGGCGCAGAUGAAUCAAGACACGGCGACAGUUUACGUAGAACUAUAACAGAGCAAUUAUGGAAUAGUAGAUGUUGAUUGUUUGUGUUUAUGCUAAUUGUAAAUAUUGGCAAUAGUUUUGUAUUUUGGAUAAAGUUUAUGUUAUGUUGCUUGCAAAUGUGAGGUAAUUGUGAUAAUGUUAUGUUGUAAUAUUCGACUGGUUGCAUGUUUACAUCUAUCAGUUAAAGUGUUUAUUUUAGUUGUGACAAUGAUUUAGAUUUAUUUUCAUGCUAUAUAAUUGGUGAAUAUUAUGAAUGCAAAUUUGCUUGACCGUCGCUAUAGAUUUGCUUGAUGGUAUAUGUAAAUGUGCUUAUUGCUAAAAAGUGUAAAUUACGCUUCGUGCUUAAAGUGUUUAUUCGACUGGUUGCAUGUAAAUGUGAGGUAAUUGUGAUAAUGUUAUGUUGUAAUAUUCGACUGGUUGCAUGUUUACAUCUAUCAGUUAAAGUGUUUAUUUUAGUUGUGACAAUGAUUUAGAUUUAUUUUCAUGCUAUAUAAUUGGUGAAUAUUAUGAAUG
This 585-nucleotide long non-coding RNA is filed under the name Ananas comosus (pineapple). RNAcentral describes it as "long non-coding RNA (ACOM_LNC032130)". Lineage: Eukaryota; Viridiplantae; Streptophyta; Magnoliopsida; Poales; Bromeliaceae. The record is from RNAcentral.